Paramuricea clavata is the source of this 72-nucleotide non-coding RNA. The record is from the annotation of a GenBank genome assembly. NCBI's taxonomy places the organism in Eukaryota, Metazoa, Cnidaria, Anthozoa, Malacalcyonacea, Plexauridae.
GACCUUGUAGCUCAGUUAGUAGAGCAUUGGACUGGUAACCAAAGGUCGCGGGUUCGAUUCCCACCGUGGUCA